This 426-nucleotide ribosomal RNA is filed under the name uncultured bacterium. RNAcentral's name for it is "bacterial SSU rRNA". It matches the Rfam family "Bacterial small subunit ribosomal RNA", at positions 8 to 464 of the family's 1533-position model. The record is from RNAcentral.
AGAGUUUGAUCCUGGCUCAGAACGAACGCUGGCGGCAGGCUUAACACAUGCAAGUCGAACGCCCCGCAAGGGGAGUGGCAGACGGGUGAGUAACGCGUGGGAAUCUACCCAGUUCUACGGAACAACACAGGGAAACUUGUGCUAAUACCGUAUACGCCCUACGGGGGAAAGAUUUAUCGGAAUUGGAUGAGCCCGCGUCGGAUUAGCUAGUUGGUGAGGUAACGGCUCACCAAGGCGACGAUCCGUAGCUGGUCUGAGAGGAUGACCAGCCUCACUGGGACUGAGACACGGCCCAGACUCCUACGGGAGGCAGCAGUGGGGAAUAUUGGACAAUGGGCGCAAGCCUGAUCCAGCCAUGCCGCGUGGAUGAUGAAGGCCCUAGGGUUGUAAAGUCCUUUUAACGGGGAAGAUAAUGACGUACCCGAG